UGCCCAUUGGCCCAAUGGUUAAGGCGUCUGACUGUUAUCAAUCAUGACAACAAAAAUCAGAAGAUUCCUGGUUCGAUCCCAGGAUGGGCAG
This is a non-coding RNA of Hypoxylon trugodes, 91 nucleotides long. The record is from the annotation of a RefSeq genome assembly. NCBI's taxonomy places the organism in Eukaryota, Fungi, Ascomycota, Sordariomycetes, Xylariales, Hypoxylaceae.